This 301-nucleotide ribosomal RNA is filed under the name uncultured bacterium. Its description in RNAcentral is "partial 16S ribosomal RNA". It matches the Rfam family "Bacterial small subunit ribosomal RNA", at positions 509 to 810 of the family's 1533-position model. The record is from RNAcentral.
CAGUCGCCGCGGGAAUACGUAGGGGGCAAGCGUUGUCCGGAAUUAUUGGGCGUAAAGCGCGCGCAGGCGGUUUUUUAAGUCUGGUGUCUAAGUGCGGGGCUCAACCCCGUGACGCACUGGAAACUGGGAGACUUGAGUGCAGAAGAGGAGAGCGGAAUUCCACGUGUAGCGGUGAAAUGCGUAGAGAUGUGGAGGAACACCAGUGGCGAAGGCGGCUCUCUGGACUGUAACUGACGCUGAGGCGCGAAAGCGUGGGGAGCAAACAGGAUUAGAUACCCGCGUAGUCCCUGUCUCAUACACA